UUAUUACCUGGUCCUUCCGUCCAGCAACUAAAUCUACAGGGAUAUCUAUAAGACUGAAGUAUUCACCCAAGUCCAAUGGCUCUGGUGAUCCAUAGGCUUCCAUGUUCAGGGAUGCAUUUCCAUAAUCAAACAUUCUAAAUUUCUUGGCAUGCUUCAUCUGAGCAAGAUGAAGACCUACUCGAAAUGAGACUCCGGGCAUAUCAUUCAUGUUAUAGUGCGGAGUUCCCAGUACUCCAACCCAGUUUGAACUGUCCCCACCUAAAAAGUAACUCACCACGGUUUGAACCAAACCUCCAACAGCAGGAUAGUGAUGAAAGUCGCGAGCCAACUUGUUGAGAAGCAUGCGGAAAAAUCUUG
Molecule: unclassified non-coding RNA, 357 nt
Filed under: Hevea brasiliensis (rubber tree)
Lineage: Eukaryota; Viridiplantae; Streptophyta; Magnoliopsida; Malpighiales; Euphorbiaceae
Source: RNAcentral